Molecule: long non-coding RNA, 750 nt
Filed under: Homo sapiens (human)
Lineage: Eukaryota; Metazoa; Chordata; Mammalia; Primates; Hominidae
Description: DDX59 antisense RNA 1 (DDX59-AS1)
Source: RNAcentral
GUGCACUGGCGGGCCCUCCCCUCGGGCGUUGCCUCCCACCCACGCCCGGCGGCACCGCACCCCGAGGCGCUUCACGUCACGGAGCUGCUAGGAGACGGGCGGGGCUCCGGUUCCGGACGGAAUCUCACUCUGUCACCCAGGCUGGAGUGCAGUGGCACAAUCUCAGCUCACUGCAACCUCGACCUCCCAGGUACAAGCAAUUCUCCUGCCUCAGCCUCCCAAGUAGCUGGGAUUACAGAUGGAGUUUUGCUCUUGUCGCCCCGGCUGGAGUGCAGUGGUGCGACCUCAGCGAUCUCAGCGAUCUCAGCGAUCUCAGCUCACUACAACCUCUGCCUCUUGGAUUCAAGCAGUUCUCCUGCCUCAACCACCUGAGUAGCUGGGAUUACAGGCGCCUGCCACCACGCCUGGCUAAUUUUUGUAUUUUUAGUAGAGAUGGGGUUUCACCAGGUUGGUCAGUCUGGUCUCGAACUCCUGACCUCAGGUGAUCCACCCACCUCGGCCUCCCAAAGUGCUGGGAUUACAGGCGUGAGCCACCAUGCCCAGCCUACACUUGGGCUUCUUAGGCACAAGAUCCAGUAAGCCCUCCCUCCUCCUCCCCACCCCUUUUUUCUUUACACUAGUGUUUUCUGUAAUCCUGCAACAGAAAGAGUCCUAACUGAUAUAUUUGUGACCAUUUCUAAAAUCUCCAAAAUGUAAAAUUAUACAAUUAAGAAUUAAAAUAAUUUUUUAAAACCAAAAAAAAAAAAAAAA